AGGACGAACGCUGGCGGCGUGCUUAACACAUGCAAGUCGAGCGGAAAGGCCCUUCGGGGUACUCGAGCGGCGAACGGGUGAGUAACACGUGAGUAAUCUGCCCUUAGCUCUGGGAUAGCUCCGGGAAACCGGGAUUAAUACCAGAUACGACCACUUUAGACAUCUGCCGUGGUGGAAAGAAUUUCGGCUAAGGAUGAGCUCGCGGCCUAUCAGCUUGUUGGUGGAGUAACGGCCUACCAAGGCGACGACGGGUA
Molecule: ribosomal RNA, 254 nt
Filed under: uncultured bacterium
Lineage: Bacteria
Description: partial small subunit ribosomal RNA
Rfam family: Bacterial small subunit ribosomal RNA
Source: RNAcentral